UUUGUGCAGUUCUAGGCUUUAGCUAAUGUCCCUUGGACUUCUCAUUGCCUUUGCUCUCCCUGCAUAAUCCAGCCUUUUCACGGGGACUCAGGCAGAGGAGAAGCUGAUCAAGAGAUCUCAAGAGUUGCGGCUUCCUGGGAUUGUCUGUCAGAGGAAUGAAGAGCGAAAGAAUAACUUUCCGUCGUGAAGAAGGCUGCAUGCAACUCAUCCUGGGUUUGGCAAGCAUAGUAAAUGGCCACGUAGACAAUGCAGAGCAUGCUAACUGCUAACCACGCCCAUGUUUGAGUGAUCCUACAGGUUUGCUCUUUGUUUUAUACUAUACUUUUAAUCUGUAAGUGCUCAGGGCUAGAAGUAGGGAUGUCAAAACAUAUACAAACCCUAGAAGAUAAGAAGACUGUGCUUUCACUGUGGCUUAUUUUGAUGAAAUUUUAGUGAGGUGGCAAUGUAUUCUCCUACGGGUGAUAGUCUGAGAUC
Molecule: long non-coding RNA, 474 nt
Filed under: Manacus vitellinus (golden-collared manakin)
Lineage: Eukaryota; Metazoa; Chordata; Aves; Passeriformes; Pipridae
Description: lncRNA (ENSMVIG00005016678.1)
Source: RNAcentral